Molecule: non-coding RNA, 1476 nt
Organism: Candidatus Peregrinibacteria bacterium
Lineage: Bacteria; Candidatus Peregrinibacteriota
Source: Rfam
UAUUUGAAGAGUUUGAUCCUGGCUCAGGAUUAACGCUGGCGGUGUGUAUAAUACAUGCAAGUCGUACGACCCUUUAAGGGGAGUGGCGGACGGGUGAGUAACACGUUGGAAUCUGCCUCGAACUCAGGGAUAGCUCCGAGAAAUCGGAAUUAAUACCGGAUGGCGUCCGAUGUUAUGUCGGACUAAAGCUAAGGCGGUUCGAGAAGAGCCUGCGUACUAUCAGCUAGUUGGUGGGGUAACUGCCCACCAAGGCUAUGACGGUUAACUGGUCUGAGAGGAUGACCAGUCACAAUGGGACUGAGAUACGGCCCAUACUCCUACGGGAGGCAGCAGUAGGGAAUCUUUCGCAAUGGGCGCAAGCCUGACGGAGCAACACCGCGUGAUUGAUGAAGCUCUUUUGAGUGUAAAAAUCUUUUCUGGGGGAAGAAUUCUGACGGUACCCUAGGAAUAAGCACCGGCUAACUCCGUGCCAGCAGCCGCGGUAAUACGGGGGGUGCAAGCGUUAUCCGAAAUUAUUGGGCGUAAAGCGUCUGUAGGCUGUAAAUUAAGUCGGGUGUUAAAUCUCUUGGCCUAACCAAGAAAUUGUAUCCGAAACUGAUUCACUAGAGUUCUUGAUAGGUAUGCGGAAUUCUGCAUGUAGGGGUAAAAUCCGUAGAUAUGCAGAGGAACACCAAAAGCGAAGGCAGCAUACUGGCAAGAUACUAACGCUGAGAGACGAAAGCGUGGGGAGCGAACGGGAUUAGAUACCCCGGUAGUCCACGCUGUAAACUAUGGGUGCUAGGUGUUUAAAGGGACUCGGUUCCCUUUGAGUGCCAACGCUAACGCAUUAAGCACCCCGCCUGAGGAGUACGGCCGCAAGGCUAAAACUUAAAGGAAUAGACGGGGGCCCACACAAGCGGUGGAGCAUGUGGUUUAAUUCGACAAUAAGCGAGGAACCUUACCCAGGCUUGACAUCCCGAGAACUCUGCAGAAAUGCAGAGGUGCCGCAAGGAACUCGGUGACAGGUGCUGCAUGGUUGUCGUCAGCUCGUGCCUUGAGGUGUUCGGUUAAGUCCGUAAACGAGCGCAACCCCUAUUGUAUGUUGUAUUUUUCAUGCGAGACUGCCCGGUAUAACUGGGAGGAAGGUAGGGAUGACGUCAAAUCAGCAUGGCCCUUAUGCCUGGGGCGACACACGUGCUACAAUGGUCGGUACAAAGGAUAGCAAGACAGCAAUGUGGAGCCAAUUCUUGAAAACCGAUCUCAGUUCGGAUUGAGGGCUGCAACUCGCCCUCAUGAAGUUGGAAUCGCUAGUAACCGUAUAUCAGCCAUGAUACGGUGAAUAUGUUCCUGGGCCUUGUACUCACCGCCCGUCAAGUCAUGAAAGGUGGAGGCACCUGAAGUCCCCGAAANNNNNNNNNNNNNNNNNNNNNNNNNNNNNNNNNGACUAAGUCGUAACAAGGUAUCCGUAGGAGAACCUGCGGAUGGAACAUUCCCUUA